GAUGAACGCUAGCGGCAGGCUUAAUACAUGCAAGUCGUGGGGCAGCAGGACUGUAGCAAUACAGUUGCUGGCGACCGGCAAACGGGUGCGGAACACGUACGCAACUUACCCUGAACUGGGGAAUACCCGGGGAAACCCCGAUUAAUAACCCGGAAUAUAAUUGAGUGGCAUUACUUUAUUUUUUAAGCUUCCGCGGUUCGGGAUGGGCGUGCGGCUGAUUAGGUAGUUGGUUGAGGUAACGGCUCACCAAGCCUACGAUCAGUAACUGGUGUGAGAGCACGACCAGUCACACGGGCACUGAGACACGGGCCCGACUCCUACGGGAGGCAGCAGUAAGGAAUAUUGGGCAAUGGAGGCAACUCUGACCCAGCCAUGCCGCGUGGAGGAUGAAGGCCCUCUGGGUUGUAAACUUCUUUUAUAGGGCACGAAACCUGUGUAUUCUUACGCAGUUGACGGUACCCUAGGAAUAAGCACCGGCUAACUCCGUG
RNAcentral lists this ribosomal RNA (488 nucleotides) under uncultured bacterium. RNAcentral describes it as "partial 16S ribosomal RNA". It matches the Rfam family "Bacterial small subunit ribosomal RNA", at positions 28 to 507 of the family's 1533-position model. The record is from RNAcentral.